This 346-nucleotide unclassified non-coding RNA is filed under the name soil metagenome. RNAcentral's name for it is "partial contains 5.8S ribosomal RNA, internal transcribed spacer 2, and large subunit ribosomal RNA". The stretch from base 1 to 120 matches the Rfam family "5.8S ribosomal RNA", at positions 35 to 154 of the family's 154-position model. The record is from RNAcentral.
GAUGAAGAACGUAGCAAAAUGCGAUAAGUAAUGUGAAUUGCAGAAUUCAGUGAAUCAUCGAAUCUUUGAACGCACAUUGCGCCCGCCAGUAUUCUGGCGGGCAUGCCUGUUCGAGCGUCAUUUCAACCCUCAAGCCCUCGGGUUUGGUGUUGGGGAUCGGCGAGCCUUUCUGGCAAGCCGGCCCCGAAAUCUCGUGGCGGUCUCGCUGCAGCCUCCAUUGCGUAGUAGUAAAACCCUCGCAACUGGAACGCGGCGCGGCCAAGCCGUUAAACCCCCAACUUCUGAAUGUUGACCUCGGAUCAGGUAGGAAUACCCGCUGAACUUAAGCAUAUCAAUAAGCGGAGGA